RNAcentral lists this long non-coding RNA (9472 nucleotides) under Olea europaea subsp. europaea. Lineage: Eukaryota; Viridiplantae; Streptophyta; Magnoliopsida; Lamiales; Oleaceae. The record is from RNAcentral.
UUUCUCAAUAUAUAAUUUUACCAGAUAAACCCUUUCAUAUUUUUAAUAUCAUUUUUCAAUUCCCCAAACAAGAACAGGGAGGUACAAGUGGCCGAGGGUUUAUCUUGUGUUGCACAGAUUUCCACUUAACUUGCUCAUCACCAAACUUUGAAGGUAGUAUCGGAUUUAUUUAUGUUGAUUUUGCACUCGAUUCGAUGGUUCUAAAUGAUUUAAUCUCACACAAGCUGUGUUGAAUUUUGAUAAAGCUGGUACACUGCCUUCAAAUCUGGCUGUAUCUGGGAACAAAAAUAACAGUUGCAGAAAUUUGGGGUUUUUGGAGGAGUGAAGUUGGGUAGAAGCUUUCGGGCUUCGGUGGUCUUCUUGGUUAUAAUGGUUCUCCACAUCGUGGCUAUUUUAUUGUUUACUAGAGGUAAUCUCCUUCUCAAUCAGGCCGAACUUUCCCAAUAUAGUCGAUGCUCCGAUGUUUUCGAGUCUCCUUGUUUCCUCCUUAUGAUCACAAUGUUAACAACUCCUGUGGAGCAAUGGCUAACAUGACGAAACCUGCAGUUGACGGGGCUCGUUGUAAUUGUUCUCGAUACUCGCAGGUAUUCUUCAUAUUGCUCUCUGGAGAAGUAAAUUUAGCCUGAUUAAUCAUUAAAUCAAAACUCUUUUACUAUAAAACAAUAUCCAUACCACAUUUUAAAAAUCCUGAUUUAUAGGUUUGAUUUUGUUACUCCAAGUACCUUCUAUGCAGGCAAGGACUUCGACUUCAUUGUGAAUCAGUUUGCUUUUGCAUUUUCACAUGUCCCGUGAUACGCAUUUUCCUACAGAACUAUGUUUUUUUAAUGUUCUAUAUUCGAGUAGCUUUGCCAAACCAUUUACCAUUUAUUCCAUUUUUAUUGAUAAGAAUUUCCACAAGUGAAACCAUGGAUGAAUAAGCUAUAUUCAGUUACACUGUCUAAAGGUGAUGAUCUUAUGUUUUAUCAUUUUAUUUUUGAAAUUUUAUUAAGUGACUUGAGGGUCUUUCUAGAGUUGGUUAAUAGGUCACUCUAUUCCCUCAUUAGACUAAACAAAGUUGCAUUGAUGUCUGUGUUUUAUGGUCUAGUUUUUGUACACUUAGCUGGAUAUUAGAUAUUUGAGGAAUUUUAAAUUGACCUUCUUACAAUGUGGAAACUGCAAAAUAGCCUUACACUUUGAUUCUUUGUUUAAAAGGCCUUGUUUUUAUGUAAAUAUCUUAACUAUCCAUACUAGAAGCGACACUAAUUGAGUCAAAUUGACCCUAACCUGUUAAAAUCAACAUAUUUCUAUAUUGACCCCAAAACAGGUCGAAAUCAACACUUGUUUGCUACCUAAACCAAUACAAAUCAACAUAUUUCUAGUAGUACUUCCUAUCAACCUGCAUUGAAGGUUAAGUUUGUUAUUUUUGAUAUCUCUAUCCUUAAAUUUUAUUUCCAUCAUUAAUUAGUCAUUCUACUGCUGUUGGGGCAGAGAAAUUUAAUAAUAUCUUCUAAUUGUUGUGCUAAUGGAAAUAUCUCUUUUUCACUCUUGAAUUUUUGCCCUUCUAAAGUAUUGUCUAACUUUUUAGGAUGAGAAUUUACUAUUCAAAACCCAUCACCCUGCCAGUUGGCAAAGAAAAGAAAGAAACACAAAGUAUUCUUGUUCAUAUUGAAUUUCAGGUACUUAAUUAGCAUGCUUGCAUUUGUGCGAUCUUCCAUCCUAUCUAUUGUGAAUACAAGCUUGUAAAUUUAAGAAAGACAGAGAAGUCAGAUUUGUUAUUGAAGCCAUACAUUCUAUGUUAAGGUGCUACAACUUUGUCGCAAGCAAAAGUUCAUUCUUGAACAUUUAAAUUCACCGAGAAUUUCGAGGAAAUUAUGUAUAUUACAUUAUUGAAUUGACAAGAAUAAUCUAAACUACAUGUGGAUUAAGUUUUGUUGAAGUUUCCUUUUUAAGCAAAUUGGAUGUUGCAAUUUUUAUUGAUGCAUUAGAGUUUUAUUAUAGUAUUAGGUGCAAAAGCAUAUUUUUAAAUUAUGAUGCACCGACAAGGACACGUGUCUCCGAAACGAUACGUAUUGGAUAUGUUGAUAUCCGAUUUUUCAAAAAGUAGCGAUACUAUACAUCACCGGCAUGUUGAUUGAAUUCUUUAAAAUUUUUCAUUUAUAUAAUAUAAGUUUAAUUUUAUACUUUAUUAAUUUUUCUUAUUGAAAUAUUUCAAAUAUAAGUAUCUAUUUUUUAUUUACUAAUAACUUUGAGUUAAAAAUAUACAAUAUUUUUAAUAAAAAUUGAAUUUUUUUAUCGUAGAGUGUUCGAGAAGUGUCAGUAUCGACACAUGUCUGACACGGACACUUUACCCUAGUUGAAGUGUCCAUACUACAAAGUUUUUAAAUAAAGCUUUCUCAAAUCCUAUCUACAUGAUCCAAGAUUUGAUAUAUGCGGGGAUGGAAUUGUGUCCAGAUCAUCAAGGAACAAAGAGACUGUUAAUUUCCAUAAUGACCCUCUACAACUUGAAAUGCAUGUAUAUUUCUAUCCCUCCAAAUCUCUAGCACGAGGAACUGUGGUUCCAUGAGCCAACUUCUAGUUUUGUUUUCCCAGCAACUUUUUUGACAAACAGAAGUAAUUUCUGCACAGGGGCAUGCACUAAUAACAAAGACCUUGAAAUUUGACACCAAAACUCAAAAACACCUCAUUGCAACGGGCUAAUGGAAAAAUGUUUACGCUUGUUUUCUAGUCUCUUAUGAGCCCCUGAGAGAUGAAAUUUUAAAAUUCUGUUUGAAGAGGACUGUUUAAACAACCAUUGGAUUAAACAAAUUGAUGAUCAAGUUUUGUGUAUAAAGGCAUGGCACAUUUUACUUCAAUUUAUCUUUGAUGCCAUAUUAUUUUUUUUGGGGCUUGACAACUGGUGGACUUCCCACUUUUAUUGACGUAGAAAACAGCUAUGGUGCACUAUCAAUGCAGAAGGUAACUUGAUACAUCAGGUCUGGCACUGUAUUUGAUUUAGGCUUUGGCAUCAGAUGCAUCUAAUUUAAUUUCUUAUAUAACAGUUAAUUUGUUUGCCAACGUUCAUAAUUUUUGUCUUUAUUUCCUUCUUUUAUCAUGCCUCUCACUCAGUCACGUUAAAGAUCUUCAUACGGCAUGCAUUACUUUUCAUCAAUGUUUUUGCUCAAAAUCUAUCGUGCUCAUGAAACAACGAUGUGUUUUUAAUUUAAUGUUCUAUUUAAAUAUCUAAAUAAGUUUUCUUUUCCUAAUAUUUAGCUCCCUCUUGAGAUCUUUAUGGCCUUGUCUGUCAGGUGGAUGGCAGGUGCAUCAAGAACUUGCUUCCAACCCUGUACAGAGAGUAUUUGCUCAUAGUACCCUUUCUUGGAGUGGUAUGAUUUCUGCUUAUUUUCAUUAUUUUGGUUGCUAAUUUAUUAGAAGCUAGUUUAUUUAUUCUCCAGAUAUGGGAGAAGUGUAGCGACGGAAAAAAAAAUAAAAAAAAAUGUUGUGUUUCGUUUUAAAAUAAAAUUUUCUUGUAGUACUCGAAUAUAAUUUGGGUUGUAUUAUUACAUCGCUACGACCCUUCCUUAAGAGUUCAAAUUAAAGUUUUGGUCACGAUAGUAAAGUUUCGCGCACUUUUUUAAAAUUUUAUAAGAUGUCGAAAUUUCUUUUAAACGACAAAUUUUUAUUCGAUUUGGUUAUGUUAUGUGGGACUACAUAUUUUAUAUUAAUUGCUACCUAUGUUAAGUCCUUAAAAAUUUAAAAUUUGAUACACUUAUUGUAUAUGCCAAACAACUCUUGAACAUGAUUUUUUUUGUCCUUCAACUGACUUCCAUUUUUUUCAGCCACGUUAUUUUCUCAACUCCUCAAAUUGAUUUUUCCAUUAAGGCACCUGAUUUAAAUAUACCAUUCACCCACAAAGUGCCUAACCACUCCCCACCUCACUAAGUAUUUUAAACUCCCAUUUGUUAACUACCGUUUGGAAAGUUAACUUGCAUGUUGAUUUCACAAAUCCACAAUAUAUACAUAAAAUUCCACUUACAUUAUCAUUUUAAAUCUCAUUUUCAUUUAUUGAAAUCCCCAUUUAAACUACCAACCGCCAUUUCCGUUUGUAAUUGAAAACAUUUUCUUCAACCCCUGUAAUGACGUUUCCUCUCCCAAACCAUCAUACAUAUAAAUAAAUUUCAUUUACCCCACAUCUUUUAAGUACUGAGCUCAUGAAAGCAAAACGUUAUGAGAGGAGCGCCCAGAGAUCAGGCAUAUUGUGAGUUCACACAAUCUCACCACUUUUUAGGCAGUGGCAAAGAAAACUCAAAUAAUGAGCUAUUCGGGGAUGAAGUUGGUAAAUAAGGGACAACGUAAUGACUUCAGAAAGAGGAAGUGGCAGGAUAAGAAUAAGAACACUGGACAGUUUAAGAAGCAGAUAUAUGUGGGUUAGUCAAGCAACCAUUUAUCCUAAUGUCCUAAGUGUAACAACUUUCACAGAGGAGAAUUUCUGUAUGGAAAGUAUGUUUGCUAUAAGUGUAACCAACCUGGCCACGUGGUAUCUUCGUGCCCGUUGACUAAGAAACCCAAGCAAGAGAAGAAAUGAAAAGCAAGGGUGAUUGCUUUGACUCACGACAUGGCUACCUAAAAUUCGGACGUAAUACCAGGUAUUUUAUCCAUCUCUAGUAUUCAUGUUUAUGUCCUCAUUGAUUCUGGUAUGACACAUUCAUUUAUAUCUAAUGCAUGUCUAGCUAUGACUAAUGUUUCAUGUCAGAAAAAUGAUAGUGUACUACAGGUUAGUAUGCUAUCAGGGGGAACUAUUGAUACAGAUAGAAUAGCAAAGGGGAUGCAGAUAAUUUUUGAUGGACUGACAUUAGAAGCCGACUUGUAUGCUAUAGAGAUGAAAGAUUUUGAUAUUAUUUUAGGCAUGGAUUGGUUAGGUGAAAAUCGAGCCAUAAUGGUAUGUUUUAAGAAAGAUGUAAUUUUUCGAAAAACUGGAAAAGAGGAGUUCAGACUUUAUGGAUAUCUUGUCAUUCUUACUAGUACCACAUCUCAAGAGAAAAUAUUAAAUGAUGUACCAAUUAUAUUGGAAUAUGCUAAUAUGUUUUCAGAUGAUCUAUCGGGUACUCCGCCCUAUAAACAAGUGGAAUUCUUGGUAGAUCUGGUACCUGGAGCUAUUCAUGUGUCCAAAGUUUCAUACCGAAUGGCGCCAAAGGAAUUACAAGAGUUGAAGAUAUUGUUAAAAGGACUUCUAGACAAGGAUUCAUUAGACUAAGUAUAUCUCCGUGGGGAGCUCCGGUACUAUUUGUAAAGAAGAAAGAUGGUACUAUGAGGUUGUGCAUCGACUAUCAUGAACUAAAUACGUAGACGAUCAAGAAUUAGUAUCCUCUUUUGAGGAUUGAGGACCUGUUUGACCAGUUGAAGGGUGAAUCCGUGUUCUCGAAAUUUAACCCCCGUUUGCCCCCAUUCUUGCCAAAUUUUAAUGGUUGAAAUAGUGUUUUUAUGAAAAAUGUGUGGUUGAAAAAGAAUGAAAAGUGUUUGAUUUGUGUAUAAUAUUAUUUUAUGGAAGAUUAUGUGGUUGAAAAUAAGAGAGAAAAAGAAUGAGAAUGAGAAUUAGGACCAAACAGGGGUUUAAUUUAAGGUGGGGCUACCAUCAACUGAAGAUUAAGUCAGGUGAUAUAUCAAAGACGACAUUUAGGACUCGAUAUGAGCAUUAUGAGUUUAUGGUGAUGCCCUUUGGCUCAACGAAUGCCCCUACAGUAUUUAUGAACUUGAUAAAUAGAGUGUUCCAUCAAUAUUUGGACAUGUUUAUCGUUGUAUUUAUUGACGACAUAUUGAUAUACUCGAGAGAUUCUCAGCAACACGAAGAACAUUUAAGGAUAGUUUUGGAAACACUGCGUGAGGAAAACUUAUAUGUCAAAUUUACGAAAUGUGAAUUUUUCCUGGACCAAAUGAGAUUUCUAGGCCUUACUAUUUCAGAACGAAGAAUUGAAGUGGAUCAAUCCAAAGUGAAUGCAGUGACCAAUUAGCCAGACCUACAAAAGUUGGAAAAGUGUGGAAUUUUCGAUGUUCAGCUGGCUAUUAUCGAUGAUUUAUUGAAGGAUUUUUCAAGAUUACGGGCCCUAUGACAUAGUUGACUCGGAAGGGUACUAUAUUCGUACGACAGGAGAAAUGCAAAAAGAGUUUUGGAGAGUUAAAGGAUAGGCUCGUAUCUACGUCAAUUUUGACUAUUGUUGAUGGUUCGAAAGGUUUUGUGAUUUAUAGCGAUGCAUCCAAACUUAGUUUGGAAUGUGUUUUGAUACAACAUGGGAAAGUGAUAGCUUAAGAUUCGAGGUAAUUGAAGCAAUAUGAAUAGAAUUAUCCCACACAUGAUCUGAAACUAGAAGUGGUAGUACACGCUUUGAAGAUUUGGUGACACUACCUAUAUGGAAGCAAAUGUGAGAUCUAUAUCGAUCAUAAGAGUCUCAAAUACUUUUUCACCUAAAAGGAGUUGAAUAUGAGAUAGUGACGGUGGUUAGAAUUAGUGAAGGAUUACGACUGUACCAUUUUGUACCAUCCAGGUAAGUUUAAUGUAGUUGCUGAUGCGCUAACUAGAAAGAACAUGGGAUAGGUGUCAGCACUGUGUACAAGACGUGAUCAUUUAAUCAGAGAUUUUGAGAACCUGAGAAUUGAAGUAUUAUUGUCACCAGUAAAGACAUCGACGAUGUUAGCAAGUUUUACUGGAAACCGACACUCAAUGAUAGAAUAGUAGCUGCUUAGAAAGAUGAUUCAUUUUUGGAAAAGAUCAGGGUUGAUGUGGGAACUAAGAAGAUGAAAGGAUUUGAAAUAGCUGAAGAUGAAGCUUGAUGUUUAAAGGUCGAUUGUACAUGCCAAAGGAUGAAGUGUUAAGGAAUGAGAUUAUGGCUGAAGCUCACUCAGCUCCUUAUGCCGCACACCCAGGACGAAACUAAAAUGUAUCGAGAUUUGUGUGAGACAUUUUGGUGGAGAAAUAAGAAGGGAAAGAUAGCCCUGUUUGUGUCCAAAUGCAUGGUUUGUCAACAAGUGAAGGCUGAACAUUAGAGGCCGUUGAGGCCGUUGAACCACAUGGGCAUACUCGAAUGGAAGUGGGAAAAGAUCGCAAUGAAUUUUUGUCGUUUGUUUUCCUAGAUCAAUGAGAGGUCAUGAUACGAUCUAGGUGAUUGUCGAUCAACUUACAAAAUCUGCUCAUUUCUUUCCAGUGCGAACAACCUAUAGUUUAGAACAACUCAUACAGAUUUAUAUCAGAGAGAUUAUGUGGCUUCAAGUUAACAUUUAGUAUGGCAUACCAUCCACAAACUUACAAACAAUCUAAACAAACUGUCCAAGUUCUUGAAAAUAUGUUGAGAGCUUGUGUCCUAGAUUUGGAAGGUAAAUGGGAAGAUCAUUUGUUGUUGGCUGAAUUUGCAUACAACAAUAGCUUUCUGGCCACAAUUGGCAUGGCACCGUAUGAAGCUUUGUAUGGUAGAUGUUGUUGCUCACCGUUAUAUUGGGAUAAAGUUGGUGAAAGGAGGAUUUUGGGUUCGAAUUUGGUCGAGAAGACUGUGGAGGCUAUAUAUAAAAUUAGAUCAAGAGUUAAGACUGUCCAAGAUCGUCAAAAGAACUAUGCUGACAAAAGGAUAAAAGAAUUGACUUUCGAGGUUAGUAAGAAAGUAUUUCUCAAAGUGGGGCCGAUGAAGAAAAUACUAUGAUUUGGAAAGAAAGGGAAAUUGAGUCCUAGAUUUAUUGGUCCAUUUGAGAUUCUUGAAAAGAUUGGGAAUGUGGCAUAUCGCUUAGCAUUGCCACCCAAGCUUUCAACAGUGCACAACAUAUUUCACAUUUCUAUGUUAAGAAAGUAUAUCCCGGAUCCUAGCCAUGUGAUGAAUGUCCAAACACUGGAUGUCCAGAGUGACAUGAAGUACGAAGAAGCUCCUGUUGUGAUUCUCAAGAGAAAGGACCAUGUUUUGAGAAAUCGAAAGGUUUCACUAGUCAAAGUUUAGUGGAGUAAAAAUGGUGAGGAUGAGGCUACUUGGGAAAGAGAAGAAUACGAUAUAGCUAAGUAUCCCGAUCUCCUUAAACUAGUAAGUUAAAUUUCGAGGACGAAAUUAUUUUAAGUGGGAGAGUUGUAGCGAUCGGAAAAAAAUAAGAAAAAUGUUGUGUUUCAUUUUAAAAUAAAAUUUUCUUGUAGUACUCGAAGAUAAUUUGGGUUGUAUUGUUACGUCGCUACGACCCUUCCUUAGGAGUUCAAAUUAAAGCUUCGGCCACGAUAGUAAAGUUUUGCGUACUUUUUUUAAAUUUUGUAAGAUGUUGAAAUCUCUUUCAAGUGAUAAAUUCGAUUUGGUUAUGUUAUGUGUGACUACAUAUUUUAUAUUAAUCACUGCCUAUGUUAAGUCCUUCAAAAUUUAAAAUUUGAUACACUUAUUGUAUAUGCCAAACAACCAUUGAACUUGAUUUUUAUUUUUUUUUUUCGUCCUUCAACUGACUUCCAUUUUUUUCAGCCACAUUAUUUUCUCAACCACUCAAACUGAUUUUUCCACUAAGGCACCCGAUUUAAAUAUACCAUUCACCAACUAAGUGCCUAACCACUCCCCACCUCACUAACUAUUUUAAACUCCCAUUGUUAACUACCAUUUGGAAAGUUAACUUGCACGUUGAUUUCACAAAUCCACAAUAUAUACAUAAAAUUACAUUUACAUUAUCAUUUUAAAUUUCAUUUUCAUUUAUUUAAAUCCCCAUUUAAAUUGCUAACUGUCACUUCCAUUUGUAAUUGAAAGCAUUAACUUUCUUCAACCCCUAUAAUCACGUUUCCUCUGUGUGAAGAGGGGCCGGAUCACAGACCCAAGGAUUAGUCUAGAAUAGGACACCUUGUAAAAAAAAAAAAAAAAAAAUUCACUUACCCUUUUUCCAUAGACUACAAGCACCUUAGAAUCUAGAAAUUUCUGAUGGAUAAGUUAGGAACAUGUUGAAUUUUCUUACAAAUUGGAUACAAAAGGGAAUUCAAACUCCAAGCAUUUAAGGUAGGAGUUUUUUCGGCACUUUUGUUAAUGAUGUAAGAAUUAUUUGUUUUCGUUUUGCAUUAAACAUAUUAUUGUGUUACUCAUAAUGGAAGCACCUUUUGGUGCUUCAAAUAAGAGAAAGAGAUUGAAGGUGACACUAAUGAUUAAAGUUUGCAUUUGUGUUAUUGUGUUACUCAUGAAGGAAACACCGUUUAGUGGUUCAAAUAAGAGAAAGAUUGACAGUGAUACAAAUGAACAAAGUUUGCAUUUCUGAAAAUAUAUAUUUUUACCAUUUGCUUAAGUAUUUUCCUACUAAGUAUUACUUGUAGUACUCAUUCCUACUAAAAUUUCACAGUUGAUUCAAGGCAUGACAAUGGUUUUGCCUAGAGGAGAGUGCUCUGUGAGCUUUCACUUUUUAUUAAAAUUUCCAAUUUGUGUAAAUUUAUUAUGAAUACUUAGAUGAUGCUUUUAAAUAUGUUUAAAUGUUUGAUUUGUCUAGUUUUAUUUAUGUUUCAUGUCAACCAUAACUUAGAAAAUGUUGGAAUGAC